AUCCGAGACUGAAAGUUUCUCCUUCAAUCGCCAAACUUCCAAUGUCUACUGAAAGUUUCUUCAUCAACACCGAACAGUUGUAACCUGGAAGGAACACUCUGACGUUCAAGUCAUAUGGGUAUCAAGAAGGUCAAAUUGAAUAUAUUUAGACAAAGGUAGUUUUACCUAGUCAUUAACGCUGUAUUUAUAGGUAUUAGGCCCAACGAUUAGCAUUAACUGCUCAUAAAUACUAUAUCUUUUGUUUCUCCUUAUGUAAUAUUCACCUAUUAAAGCUAUUUAUACCAUUUGUAAUGUCAUUAAUUACCUUUUAACGUUGUCUUUAAUACUCUUUCACUGCUCAGCCUCACAACUGGACUUCAUCAUCCCUUACCGACCGAUCUCCUCUCUCCCCUCGCACCUUAGUCCUUAUUGGUUGGCCACCUCCUCAUACUACAAAU
RNAcentral lists this long non-coding RNA (437 nucleotides) under Vigna radiata. Its description in RNAcentral is "long non-coding RNA (VRAD_LNC000286)". The record is from RNAcentral. Lineage: Eukaryota; Viridiplantae; Streptophyta; Magnoliopsida; Fabales; Fabaceae.